CGAUCGGGAGGCCUCUGGUGGGACAGGGGCCGUGAAUGGAUCAGAAUCAGACCGUCUCGUAUGGGCGAGGUGCCGGGGCCCGACGGCAUCCGCG
This is a regulatory RNA element of 94 nucleotides. It matches the Rfam family "Rhodo-rpoB RNA". The record is from Rfam.